GCUUAACACAUGCAAGUCUAACGGGAAAUAUUUCAUUGAGACUUCGGUGGAUUUGAUCUAUUUCUAGUGGCGGACGGGUGAGUAACGCGUGGGUAACCUGCCUUAUACAGGGGGAUAACAGUCAGAAAUGGCUGCUAAUACCGCAUAAGCGCACAGAGCUGCAUGGCUCAGUGUGAAAAACUCCGGUGGUAUAAGAUGGACCCGCGUUGGAUUAGCUGGUUGGUGGGGUAACGGCCCACCAAGGCGACGAUCCAUAGCCGGCCUGAGAGGGUGAACGGCCACAUUGGGACUGAGACACGGCCCAGACUCCUACGGGAGGCAGCAGUGGGGAAUAUUGCACAAUGGGGGAAACCCUGAUGCAGCGACGCCGCGUGAAGGAAGAAGUAUCUCGGUAUGUAAACUUCUAUCAGCAGGGAAGAUAGUGACGGUACCUGACUAAGAAGCCCCGGCUAACUACGUGCCAGCAGCCGCGGUAAUACGUAGGGGGCAAGCGUUAUCCGGAUUUACUGGGUGUAAAGGGAGCGUAGACGGUGUGGCAAGUCUGAUGUGAAAGGCAUGGGCUCAACCUGUGGACUGCAUUGGAAACUGUCAUACUUGAGUGCCGGAGGGGUAAGCGGAAUUCCUAGUGUAGCGGUGAAAUGCGUAGAUAUUAGGAGGAACACCAGUGGCGAAGGCGGCUUACUGGACGGUAACUGACGUUGAGGCUCG
This 708-nucleotide ribosomal RNA is filed under the name uncultured Lachnospiraceae bacterium. RNAcentral's name for it is "bacterial SSU rRNA". It matches the Rfam family "Bacterial small subunit ribosomal RNA", at positions 46 to 755 of the family's 1533-position model. Lineage: Bacteria; Bacillati; Bacillota; Clostridia; Lachnospirales; Lachnospiraceae. The record is from RNAcentral.